RNAcentral lists this transfer RNA (67 nucleotides) under Zea mays. It matches the Rfam family "tRNA". Rfam says of the family: Transfer RNA (tRNA) molecules are approximately 80 nucleotides in length. Their secondary structure includes four short double-helical elements and three loops (D, anti-codon, and T loops). Lineage: Eukaryota; Viridiplantae; Streptophyta; Magnoliopsida; Poales; Poaceae. The record is from Rfam by way of RNAcentral.
GUCAGGAUAGCUCAUUUGGUAGAGCAGAGGACUGAAAAUCCUCGUGUCCCUUUUGUGAGUUUUGGUG